ACCUAGCAGUCAGCAACCACUACUGAUUAAUCUGACUCCCCACGAAUAUUACACAGCAGAAAUAUUGCCUUGGUUAGCAACACCCAGUGGCAAGAGAAAGCGAGUGUUACCUACCAAUGAUGGUGAUCCUGGUGACGACUGGCGGUUGUUGUGUGCUGAACCAUAGGUGACACCAGACAGCGGGAGGCUUGGUGCUUCUGGUGACUCCCAGCAACCUCACACACGGCUUUCCUCCUGCACCAGGUGCGGAAGUAUCGUUGUAGCAAAUUGCAAGGUAACUUUAAAGUCUGCUUGGAUAUCAGUACGAGAGGAGAGAUUAUCUUGUUCUAUGAGGAAAGGAAUGUUGGUGUAAUAAUCCUGAUACACAAUGUGGAUGAUAUGGACGGCCAGAAACAGUAGUAGAAUCCUGAAGAGAACAUGGACAAAAAUAUUUCAUUAAAUUACUGCAAGUCAGAGACUUCAGGAUAAAUAUAUCUCCAUGAAUCGAUUCUGCCUCUCAUCUCUAGGAGCUUAGUGCUCCCACAUUAAACAAAAAAAAAGCUAGUGUAAACUGCGUGUUUGGUCUCCAGUGUAAUCGUCCAGCUGCUCAGAGUCACAUGACUGUAAACACUGUAGGAUCCAUGUCGUUGCACAACCAAGUUAGUAUAUUGUUCUCUCUGCGUACCUUUAUCUCAGAUAUUAGUAGUAGAAAGUUACUUUCGCAUUUGCACAAAAGGGUUUGUUGUUGAGGUAAAUAUUGAGUUUUGGGGCUCCAUUGAGUUUCGUGAAAAUUUAUAAUGGUAAGUGUGGAAUAACGGUUUGUAUGUGCAACGGAAAUUGAAAAAAAAUAAUUUUGGUCUUUUUUUUUUUUUUGUCUCAAGAAGUAUGUAGAAAAAGAUCCCUGUUGACUACUGCAACCAUCCUAACUUAUUCUGAUCUAAUGUAAGAAAACCCAGGAACUAUUUACAUUGAACCGACAUGCCACAAGCACUUGCUCGGCGUAUAACAAACCUGUUACAUUCUACCAACAACAAAAAAAAAAAUAUUUUGUUGCUUAUCUCUCUCCCUCUCCUCAAAAAUACCGGAAAUAAUUCUUUUUGUGUUUAUAGGUAGAUUGCUUGCGUUAUAGAAAUAAAAAUUAUUCGUUGUAGCCCCUAAACUCAGUAUUAGUGGCAGUCCAUAAUACAAGACGUCGAAAUUGAUGCACCAUCAACACAAGUUUGGGAACCAUAGAUUUACAAAUACUGUUUAAUGCUGUGGUUUCUAGGCUUCUUGAGUGUUGAGAUAAUGCUUCUGGGCUUAAAGGUUUUCUCCAACUGGAUC
This is a non-coding RNA of Cherax quadricarinatus, 1302 nucleotides long. The record is from RefSeq and is a predicted model, not a curated record. Lineage: Eukaryota; Metazoa; Arthropoda; Malacostraca; Decapoda; Parastacidae.